This 123-nucleotide ribosomal RNA is filed under the name uncultured bacterium. Its description in RNAcentral is "partial 16S ribosomal RNA". It matches the Rfam family "Bacterial small subunit ribosomal RNA", at positions 355 to 472 of the family's 1533-position model. The record is from RNAcentral.
UGGGGAAUAUUGCACAAUGGGCGCAAGCCUGAUGCAGCCAUGCCGCGUGUGUGAAGAAGGCCUUCGGGUUGUAAAGCACUUUCAGCGAGGAGGAAGGUGGUGAACUUAAUACGUCAUCAAUGA